Molecule: long non-coding RNA, 1108 nt
Organism: Cyprinus carpio carpio
Lineage: Eukaryota; Metazoa; Chordata; Actinopteri; Cypriniformes; Cyprinidae
Source: Ensembl
CAUGACUGUAGAUGAGGCUAUUUUAACAAUGCUACAUGUUGUUUAAUGACAACUUGAGGGUCCUAAAAAUCAUGUGAACAAUUUUUUUUUUUGCAGAUUUUUCUUCUGCUUUUAAUAAUAUUGUGCCAUCUGUUCUGGUCAAAAGAUUAUCUGUAUAUUUCUCUCUAGAUGGAGGAGUGAUUUUGUGGUUGCAGGAUUUAAGUAACGGAGUUCAAUGAGUGUGUGUGGGUACCUCAUUGUCUGACAAACUAAUCGCAAAUAUUGGUUCCCCACAAGGUUGUGUCCUCUCACCUUUACUGUUUAUUAUGUACACAAACAAUUGUAGGAGUACUUGCCCAGCGAGAUAUUUAAUCAAAUUUGCAGAUGAUACUGCAUUGGUUAGUCUCCUUAAAGGGGAUGAGCACAGUCAUGGACCCUUUUAACUGAGUUUGUUUCUUAGUGUGAUUGUAUCAAAUCUCAAGUUAAAUGUUUCAAAAUCUAAAGAAAUGUGCACUGAUUUUAGGAAAGCGUCCUCAACGAGUGCGACCAUUAAAGCGGAGCAGAUUCAGAGGGUAGAAGAGUAUAAAUACCUUGGAGUUGUUUUAGAUCACAAACUGUGGUGGGAUAAAUGGACUCACGCUGUGAACAAAAAGGACCAGCAAAGACUAUAUUUCCUUAGGAAGAUGGUGUCAUUUAGUAUGACUGAAUCUCAACACUUGAGCUGGAGGUAAUCAUCGCAGGUGUAUCCAGUGAAGAUGGAGGUGCCUUGGUCCUGUUGUCUGACACCUACAAUGAAUAAACCGUCCCUGCAGCUGUGGCCAUGGACAUCAGUGCUGAAGAUCUUCCAUCACACUGAAACUAACACUGUCCAUUGUACUGAGCUGUUGCUGGAGGAAUUUUUUUUUUUUUUUUUACUGGUUACAUUUUUUUUUAUUAAUUCAGUGUUCAUGAAUGUUCAUGUAAAUUUCAAUUUAAAAUGUGUUCUUUUUAAUAAGUUUUGUAAAAAAUUAAAUAAAAAUUGCAUUCUAUAAAAGUAAAAUAAAUAAAGUCUGAUGCGUCUUAUCACCUCCCUACCUUUAAAUACAAAUGCUUAAUGCUGCUGAUCGUAAUGCUACCAAGUAUGUUAAAC